RNAcentral lists this transfer RNA (88 nucleotides) under Cytophagales bacterium. RNAcentral describes it as "tRNA-Leu". It matches the Rfam family "tRNA". Rfam says of the family: Transfer RNA (tRNA) molecules are approximately 80 nucleotides in length. Their secondary structure includes four short double-helical elements and three loops (D, anti-codon, and T loops). Further hydrogen bonds mediate the characteristic L-shaped molecular structure. tRNAs have two regions of fundamental functional importance: the anti-codon, which is responsible for specific mRNA codon recognition, and the 3' end, to which the tRNAs corresponding amino acid is attached (by aminoacyl-tRNA synthetases). tRNAs cope with the degeneracy of the genetic code in two manners: having more than one tRNA (with a specific anti-codon) for a particular amino acid; and 'wobble' base-pairing, i.e. permitting non-standard base-pairing at the 3rd anti-codon position. Lineage: Bacteria; Pseudomonadati; Bacteroidota; Cytophagia; Cytophagales. The record is from RNAcentral.
GCCGGGGUGGUGGAACUGGUAGACACGCCAGACUUAAAAUCUUGUGGGCCAAAAGCCCGUACGGGUUCGAUUCCCGUCCCUGGUACCA